This 1309-nucleotide long non-coding RNA is filed under the name Olea europaea subsp. europaea. The record is from RNAcentral. Lineage: Eukaryota; Viridiplantae; Streptophyta; Magnoliopsida; Lamiales; Oleaceae.
UGAGUUAAUGCAUGCUUAUAUAUUCAAAAUUUAACUAGAGAUAACCAAGUUUAUAUAUAGGUAUAAAAUUCAUUGAUUUUGAUAGAGAUUAUUAAUUAAUAUAGGAUCAUUGAUUUUCAACUUAUAUGAUAUAAUCGAAAACAACGGGUACUCGAGGAUUAAAGUAUGUUAAAAUGGUAUCUUGGAGAUUCUAGUAAUCUAGUGCCUUCGGUCAUUUGAUUAAUUUCAAGACUUUGUUCGUUUAUUUUUAAUUGCUUAUUUUCAUAGAUAAUUGGAUUAGUUAAAAUCAAUGUCCAAUAAAAAAUUGUUCGUGUUUUGAAUUGGAGCUUGCUUUCGUUAAAGUAAAAAUAGGUAGAUAAAUAGUCGUCAUGAAAAUGGUACUUAAUUUACCAUUUAUUAUUCGUUGUGUCCAUUUGCAUGAUAAAUUUUGACGACAAGAUUUUGGUACCAUUGUUGGAGACUAUUUUAUUUACUUUUCGUUAAUUAAUUUCAACUUUAACUUUUUCUUUUCUUUUUUCAACUAAUCUACUUGUGUUUUCUUGAUUUCAAAUUGUCACGGAACAAAAAGAAGCAAGAGUAUGUCAACAACUAGAAGCAUGUUUGAUGGAGAUUUUGUCCCGAAAAUUAUUGAGGAUGACUUGUUUGUAGGAUUAUUUCUACGCUAUCCAUGAAAAGCUCACUCGUGACGAAAGGGAAUUCUAUCCAAAAGGCAAAUUUUGGCUAGUGAAAUUGGUGAAAGAAGCCAUUACUGAUUUUAGUUGACGUUAAUGUGGAUGAUUUCCUCUUCCAAGAAUUUUGGAAACCACCGGCCACACAAAUUUUUGCCUCUACUUCUAUACUUACAGUCCGAAUUGAAAAAAAAAAAAAUUAUAUCUCAAAUUACUCAAGAGUACAACCAAUAGUGGGAAGAGGCAAUAGCUAAGUUGGCAAAUUAGCAACUGCAAUACCAAGAGCACAAUGAUGCAAAUAUGAAGAGCCUCAAGAAUCAAUGUCUAAAAUCAUCCAAUCUAUUUGCACCAUAUGCAUUAGUAAGAUCUCAUAUUGUAGCUUUGCUUCGUGAAAUAGAUAAGAAACGAACAGCUUAUUAAGUUGCUUUUUUCGCUAUUGUUGACCUCAAAAAAUGUACGUUCAGAUAACCAACAGAUCCCGAAACCUCUCACAUCUAAACAAGUCGUAUACUUGCACACUAAGACAAAUCUUUAGACACACGUGGUCUUCUCCGAUGAGGGUGGAGCCAGCCGCGCGUACUCCGAUGGUCAAAUCAGUUGGGGAAGAAGUGUAUGAAGUGUGGGAGGGCCUUUGACAUGAG